This 444-nucleotide ribosomal RNA is filed under the name uncultured bacterium. RNAcentral's name for it is "bacterial SSU rRNA". It matches the Rfam family "Bacterial small subunit ribosomal RNA", at positions 355 to 796 of the family's 1533-position model. The record is from RNAcentral.
UAGGGAAUAUUGGACAAUGGGCGAAAGCCUGAUCCAGCCAUGCCGCGUGAUAGAUGAAGGCCCUCUGGGUUGUAAAUAUCUUUUAUCUGGGAAGAAACACUUCUAUUCUUAGAAGCUUGACGGUACCAGAGGAAUAAGCACCGGCUAACUCCGUGCCAGCAGCCGCGGUAAUACGGAGGGUGCAAGCGUUAUCCGGAUUCACUGGGUUUAAAGGGUGCGUAGGCGGGUAUAUAAGUCAGUGGUGAAAGCUCCGGGCUUAACUUGGAAACUGCCAUUGAUACUGUAUAUCUUGAAUGUCGUUGAGGUAAGCGGAAUGUUGCAUGUAGCGGUGAAAUGCUUAGAUAUGUUACAGAACACCAAUUGUGAAGACAGCUUACUAAGCGAUGAUUGACGCUGAGGCACGAAAGCGUGGGGAGCAAACAGGAUUAGAUACCCCCGUAGUCC